UACAGAGGUCUCAAGCGUUGUUCGGAUUCAUUGGGCGUAAAGGGUGCGUAGGUGGCGCCAUAAGUCAGGUGUGAAAUUUCGGAGCUUAACUCCGAAACUGCAUUUGAUACUGUGGUGCUUGAGGACUGGAGAGGAGACUGGAAUUUACGGUGUAGCAGUGAAAUGCGUAGAGAUCGUAAGGAAGACCAGUGGCGAAGGCGGGUCUCUGGACAGUUCCUGACACUGAGGCACGAAGGCCAGGGGAGCAAACGGG
RNAcentral lists this ribosomal RNA (253 nucleotides) under uncultured bacterium. RNAcentral describes it as "partial 16S ribosomal RNA". It matches the Rfam family "Bacterial small subunit ribosomal RNA", at positions 524 to 776 of the family's 1533-position model. The record is from RNAcentral.